AAAAAGAGGCUUUAUAUGAGAACGGAUGAAGCGUUCGAGAGUUGGGACAGGGAAAUGAAGCACUGGAACGACACUGCUUAAAUUGAAGCACAGUGUGCGAAUGACCUGCUACGCUCGGAACUGUUAUCACCAUUCGGGAAGAAAUCAGUCAAGACGCUUGUCUGGUUGUCAUUGCGGAAAAGUCAUAAUUAAUUAGAAGUUGGUUUCGUUCCUUCCCACAGAUGAAAAAACAAAACUUUUUUAUGAGCACUGUAACUAUCCAAGCUUCACUCUCGACGGUGACAGAGAAAUGCCGGAUGCUAUAGCGUUCAGAGCCAAGAACAUGGGAACGUCUGAAAGAGAGCCUCCCGGGCAGUAUGGGAAACUCUCACAGCACACCAGCUCUGUCCUUUAGCUAUAUCAUACUAUUUCAGGGAACAAAGACUACUUGCAAAUUGUUAACACUGCUGCACGAAAAGAAUUAUGUAUUUUAUGAUUGCAAAAUAAACACCUAAAAAGAGAAAACAUUGCGUUCACGUGUUUCUUUUGUUGCGUGUUGCAUAUGUACACUAACGAGUA
Dermacentor andersoni is the source of this 558-nucleotide non-coding RNA. NCBI's taxonomy places the organism in Eukaryota, Metazoa, Arthropoda, Arachnida, Ixodida, Ixodidae. The record is from RefSeq and is a predicted model, not a curated record.